This is a non-coding RNA of Mycena crocata, 96 nucleotides long. The record is from the annotation of a GenBank genome assembly. Lineage: Eukaryota; Fungi; Basidiomycota; Agaricomycetes; Agaricales; Mycenaceae.
UCAGAUAUGGUGUAGUUGGAAACACGGCUUCGUAACUUAAUGCAAAAUUGCACGAUGUUAUAGAGGCAGUCCUGGGUUCGAACCCCAGUAUCUGAA